Molecule: ribosomal RNA, 320 nt
Filed under: uncultured fungus
Lineage: Eukaryota; Fungi
Description: eukaryotic LSU rRNA
Rfam family: 5.8S ribosomal RNA (bases 1-52)
Source: RNAcentral
AACGCACCUUGCGCUCCUUGGUAUUCCGAGGAGCAUGCCUGUUUGAGUGUCAUGGAAUCAUCAACUCUAUUUCUUCUUUGUUGAAGGGAUUGAGCUUGGACUUGGAGGUGUAUGCUGGCCUUUGCGGGUCGGCUCCUCUUGAAUGCAUUAGCUUGAACCUUUGCUGUAUCAGCUGUUCGGUGUGAUAAUUGUCUACGCCGUCACUGUGAAGCAUUACACAUUUUGUGUGUGGGGCUCAGCUUCCAACUGUCCUGUAGAAGGGACAACAUCAUAUAUUGACCUCUGACCUCAAAUCAGGUAGGAUUACCCGCUAAACUUAA